RNAcentral lists this long non-coding RNA (738 nucleotides) under Homo sapiens (human). RNAcentral's name for it is "HSALNT0199054". The record is from RNAcentral. Lineage: Eukaryota; Metazoa; Chordata; Mammalia; Primates; Hominidae.
UUCACCUUUGGUUUCGAUAACUUAUAAAUACUCUCUAUGUGAAACAAAUACCAGAUAUAACACAUCAUAUGAAACACCUGAGGGAGACAUUUCUCCUCCACAUAAAUGUAUAGCCUGCCCUAAGUGGUGGUCCCUUGUCCUUCCUGGAUUGUUUUUUCUUAUUAAUUCCUCAGUGGUAGCUCCCUCAAGUUGAACUAGUAUAUACUGUCCAAUUAUAAGCCCCUAUCUACUCCAAAUUACACUCAUCAGUCUGCUAAAUACUCCUUUCAAAGCUCAGUACCAAUUUACAAAGAAAACUCCACAAGACUUAUUUUUAAUCCCACAUCCUGCAUGAAGAACAGACCAUUGGUGUACUCAUUCAUUCUCUCACUCAGUGAACACUUAGAGAAUCAGGAGAUUAUGACAAGCACAUGCUGGGCCCAGACCUGGACAAUUUAACCCCGUUUCCAAAAUCUAGGCCAUGCUUGUGUCUUCCAUACUUAAAGCUACAGAGUAUCUGUUCAGUACAAUACUUGCUUCCUGAAAUUUUUUUGGCCCUGCCUGCAGUUAUUCUGAUCUUCCAUACUGGUGAAGCAGUUGGUAGUUGUUCAUCAGCACAAAAACAGUGCAGAUUCCUUCAUUUUCAUUUUGUUAAAGAGUCCAAAUUUUCAUUUUGAUGAAUUCUAAAAACAUGCAUCUGAUGAAUCUUAAAAAUAUGUAUGUGAAUCUCUAAAGUAUUAACAGCAGACACAGCAGGCA